UUUUGGGUUUUCACAGCCUUUAGUAGCAUUUAGAAAGCAUAUUGUACAAACCUGGGAACACAUCUAGGGGUCCGAGGAUGAUUACAGGACAGAAACAACACAUUUAACUCAAUAGUGGAAGGGAAACAGACUCAUUUCUAUGUGAAAAAAACAACAAGGAAAUGACAAUAAACUUCAGAACUAUAAAAUAUGAUACCAGGCCCAUUCACAUUGACUCAGAGCAAAUAGAAUCAGUUGAGCAAUACAAAUAUCUUGGAAGUAAACUUAGCAAAAAAUAUCAGCGUCCUCUCACUGUCAACUGCGUUUAUUUUCAGCAAACUUAAUGUGUAAAUAUUGGUAUGAACAUAACAAGAUUCAACAACUGAGACAUAAACUGAACAAGUUCCACAGACACGUGACUAACAUAAAUGGAAUAACGUGUCCCUGAACAAAACGUGUCCCUGAACAAAAGUAACAGUCAGUAUCUGGUGUGGCCACAAGAUGCGUUAAGUACUGCAGUGCAUCUCCUCCUCUUGGACUGCACCAGAUUUGCCAGUUCUGGCUGUGAGAUGUUACCCCACUCUUCCACCAAGGCACCUGCAAGUUCCCCAACAUUUCUGGGGGGAAUGGCCCUAGCCCUCACCCUUCGAUCCAACAGGUCCCAGACAUGCUCAAUGGGAUUGAGAUCCGGGCUCUUCCCUGGACAUGGCAGAACAUUGACAUUCCUGUCUUGCAGGAAAUCAUGCACAGAACGAGCAGUAUGGCUGCUUGGAGGGUCAUGUCAGGAUGAGCCGGCAGGAAGGGUACCACAUGAGGGAGGAGGAUGUCUUCCCUGGCACAGCGUUGAGAUUGCAUGCAAUGACAACAAGCUCAGUCCGAUGAUGCUGUGAUACAACGCCCCAGACCAUGACGGACCCUGCACCUCCAAAUCGAUCCCGCUCCAGAGUACAGGCCUCUGUGGAACGCUCAUUACUUUGACGAUAGACGCAAAUCAAAUCAAAUGUAUUUAUAUAGCCCUUCGUACAUCAGCUGAUAUCUCAAAGUGCUGUACAGAAACCCAGCCUAAAACCCCAAACAGCAAGCAAUGCAGGUGUAGAAGCACGGUGGCUAGGAAAAACUCCCUAGAAAGGCCAAAACCUAGGAAGAAACCUAGAGAGGAACCAGGCUAUGUGGGGUGGCCAGUUCUCUUCUGGCUGUGCUGGGUGGAGAUUAUAACAGAACAUGGCCAAGAUGUUCAAAUGUUCAUAAAUGACCAGCAUGGUCAAAUAAUAAUAAGGCAGAACAGUUUAAACUGGAGCAGCAGCACGGCCAGGUGGACUGGGGACAGCAAGGACUCAUCAUGUCAGGUAGUUCUGGGGCAUGGUCCUAGGGCUCAGGUCCUCCGAGAGAGAGAAAGAAAGAGAGAAAGAGAGAAUUAGAGAGAGGACACUUAAAUUCACACAGGACACCGAAUAGGACAGGAGAAGUACUCCAGAUAUAACAAACUGACCCUAGCCCCCUGACACAUAAACUACUGCAGCAUAAAUACUGGAGGCUGAGACAGGAGGGGUCAGGAGACACUGUGGCCCCAUCCGAGGAAUCCAACCAUCACCCCCGGUGAAACAAAACUGAGACUCGUCAGUGAAGAACACCUUUUGCCAGUCCUGUCUGGUCCAGUGACGGUGGGUUUGUGCCCAAGGGCAACGUUGUUGCUGGUGACGUCUGGUGAGGACCUGCCUUACAACAGGCCACAAGCCCUCAGUCCAGCCUCUCUCAGCCUAUUGCGGACAAUCUGAGCACUGAUGGAGUGAUUGUGCAUUCCUGGUGUAACUCGGGCAGUUGUUGUUGCCAUCCUGUACGUGUCCCGCAGGUGUGAUGUUCGGAUGUGCAGGUGUUGUUACACGUGGUCUGCCACUGCGAGGAUGAUCAGCUGUCCGUCCUGUCUCCCUGUAGCGCUGUCUUCAGCGUUUCAGGCAUUGCAAUUUAUUGCGGAGAUGGAGACGGAGAUGAGCAGGGACCCUGGGCAUCUUUCUUUUGGUGUUUUUCAGAGUCAGUAAAAAGCCCCCUUUAGUGUCCUAAGUUUUCAUAACUGUGACCUUAAUUGCCUAUCUUCUGUAAGCUGUUAGUGUCUUAACGACCGUUCCACAGGUGCAUGUUCAUUAAUUGUUUAUGGUUCAUUGAACAAGCAUGGGAAACAGUGUUUAAGGGUUGCUGAGUUUACAAUUGACUCAAAACUUUCCUGAACUGCAAACACAGAACAGAUGUACAAAAAGGGACAACAACGACUGUAUUUCAUGAGAUGAAUUAAAUAUCAGGUCAAUAAAAGAAUAACAACCAUAUUCUACACAUCCUUUGCUUAGAGUGUUGCCACUUUCUGUUUCCAAGCUUGGUACAAUCAGCUAUCCAUUUAAAAAAAAAAUAUUUAUACACAAAAAUAGUAAAUCUGUUAAUAUCAAGAACAUGGAAACGCUGUUCUUGGAGAGAGUACUAAGGGCAGGAGCGAGAAUUGCCACCAACCGGACACACCCACUCAACCAGGAGUACCAGCUCAUACCAUCAUGCCACCGAUGCAGUCGAUCUUUACAAAACCACCAGAGCCCAGAAAUCAUUCAUUACCACCAGUAAAAAUCAAUUGAAUAAAUGAACUGUUCCCCCCCACCAGAACUGACAAACUGAAUUCUGAACUGUGUCCACAUGUCUACUGUAGUUGAUUGUGAUUUAUGUAUGUAUUUAUUGCACUUAUUGGCGAUGCUGUGCUGUUGAUUGUUGAGAUGCAAGACAAAUUUCCCAGAAAGGGACACACCAUAAAACAUUAUUAAAUAUCUCAUCAGAAAGUUCAGACCUCUUGGUGUAACAAUUAAAGUUUUGGACUACUACAGUAGCAGUAACCUGGGUUUGUGUCCUGGUCGGGCUACUCCCCAUAUUCGCUACACUGGUGUUAGAACUGGAAGUGGGAUGGUGAGGCCAUCGAAACAUAGGGAUGGCAGUAGUGUUACGCCCCUGAAAACAGGGGAGAAAUAAUCACGAGAGUGAUACGGUGUUGUAUUCUCAAUUCAACGUUUAGUUCAAUCAUUUCACAAAAGUAACACAUUACAAAACAACAGAAAAACCAUUAUACAAAUAACACAGCAAAAUAUCUUAUUAACAACGUACAUGUUCAUUCACAAUCGACAUAAAAUGGCAGCUACUCUCAGUACGAUGCUAUUCUUCACUUCAACCGAGCAGGGCUAAUAUUACUCUCUUCAAACUUAACUCUAACUUCCUCAAGACGUUACUAAGACACACCUUAAACACUCUUGACAUAUUAGUGAGUUAUAACAUUUAAAUUACUAUUUUUAUCAUCAAUAAAGUACCUGAAAACAGGGGAGAAAUAAUCACGAGAUUGAUACGACGUUGUAUU
Oncorhynchus tshawytscha (Chinook salmon) is the source of this 3358-nucleotide long non-coding RNA. NCBI's taxonomy places the organism in Eukaryota, Metazoa, Chordata, Actinopteri, Salmoniformes, Salmonidae. The record is from Ensembl.